This 77-nucleotide transfer RNA is filed under the name Desulfuromonas carbonis. RNAcentral describes it as "tRNA-Arg". It matches the Rfam family "tRNA". From Rfam's summary of the family: Transfer RNA (tRNA) molecules are approximately 80 nucleotides in length. Their secondary structure includes four short double-helical elements and three loops (D, anti-codon, and T loops). Lineage: Bacteria; Pseudomonadati; Thermodesulfobacteriota; Desulfuromonadia; Desulfuromonadales; Desulfuromonadaceae. RNAcentral also lists the same sequence under 2 other names. The record is from RNAcentral.
GCGCCAGUAGCUCAGUUGGAAAGAGCAGCGGCCUUCUAAGCCGUUGGCCGAGGGUUCGAAUCCUUCCUGGCGCGCCA